UACGGGGGGAGCAAGCGUUGUUCGGAUUUACUGGGCGUAAAGGGCGCGUAGGCGGCCAGCACAAGUCAGUUGUGAAAUCUCCGGGCUUAACUCGGAAAGGUCAACUGAUACUGUGCGGCUAGAGUGCAGAAGGGGCAACUGGAAUUCCCGGUGUAGCGGUGAAAUGCGUAGAUAUCGAGAGGAACACCUGCGGCGAAGGCGGGUUGCUGGGCUGACACUGACGCUGAUGCGCGAAAGCCAGGGGAGCGAACGGG
Molecule: ribosomal RNA, 254 nt
Filed under: uncultured bacterium
Lineage: Bacteria
Description: partial 16S ribosomal RNA
Rfam family: Bacterial small subunit ribosomal RNA
Source: RNAcentral